CUAGACAGUUUACCCGUCAGAGAUAGGUGUUCGCUUCGGGGACGUGAGACAGGUGGUGAUGGKGUCGUCAGUGGAUCUGAGAUGUUGGGUUAAGUCCCGCAACGAGCGCAACAAGGGCCUUAGUUGCCAUCAUUAAGUUGGGGACUCUAAUGAGACUGCCGGUGACAAACCGGAGGAAGGUGGGGAUGACGUCAAGUCAUCAUGCCCCUUAUGACCUGGGCUACACACGUGCUACAAUGGACGGUACAACGAGAAGCGAACCUGCGAAGGCAAGCGGAUCUCUUAAAGCCGUUCUCAGUUCGGACUGUAGGCUGCAACUCGCCUACACGAAGCUGGAAUCGCUAGUAAUCGCGGAUCAUCACGCCGCGGUGAAUACGUUCCCGGGUCUUGUACACACCGA
RNAcentral lists this ribosomal RNA (400 nucleotides) under Lactobacillus johnsonii. RNAcentral's name for it is "bacterial SSU rRNA". It matches the Rfam family "Bacterial small subunit ribosomal RNA", at positions 980 to 1393 of the family's 1533-position model. Lineage: Bacteria; Bacillati; Bacillota; Bacilli; Lactobacillales; Lactobacillaceae. The record is from RNAcentral.